RNAcentral lists this ribosomal RNA (484 nucleotides) under uncultured bacterium. RNAcentral describes it as "partial 16S ribosomal RNA". It matches the Rfam family "Bacterial small subunit ribosomal RNA", at positions 30 to 507 of the family's 1533-position model. The record is from RNAcentral.
AUUGAACGCUGGCGGCAGGCCUAACACAUGCAAGUCGAGCGGAUGAAGGGAGCUUGCUCCUGGAUUCAGCGGCGGACGGGUGAGUAAUGCCUAGGAAUCUGCCUGGUAGUGGGGGAUAACGUCCGGAAACGGGCGCUAAUACCGCAUACGUCCUGAGGGAGAAAGUGGGGGAUAUUCGGACCUCACGCUAUCAGAUGAGCCUAGGUCGGAUUAGCUAGUUGGUGGGGUAAAGGCCUACCAAGGCGACGAUCCGUAACUGGUCUGAGAGGAUGAUCAGUCACACUGGAACUGAGACACGGUCCAGACUCCUACGGGAGGCAGCAGUGGGGAAUAUUGGACAAAGGGCGAAAGCCUGAUCCAGCCAUGCCGCGUGUGUGAAGAAGGUCUUCGGAUUGUAAAGCACUUUAAGUUGGGAGGAAGGGCAGUAAGUUAAUACCUUGCUGUUUUGACGUUACCAACAGAAUAAGCACCGGCUAACUUCGUG